Molecule: ribosomal RNA, 440 nt
Filed under: uncultured bacterium
Lineage: Bacteria
Description: bacterial SSU rRNA
Rfam family: Bacterial small subunit ribosomal RNA
Source: RNAcentral
CCUACGGGGGGCUGCAGUCGAGGAUCUUCGUCAAUGGGCGCAAGCCUGAACGAGCGACGCCGCGUGCAUGAUGAAGGCCUUCGGGUUGUAAAGUGCAAAAGUGGGGAUAAAACCGCAAGGUUGAUUGAUCCACAGUAAGGACGGGCUAAGUUCGUGCCAGCAGCCGCGGUAAGACGAACUGUCCUAACGUUGUUCGGAAUCACUGGGCUUAAAGGGCGCGUAGGCGGUCCAACAAGUCAGGGGUGAAAUCCUGCAGCUCAACUGCAGAAGUGCCUCUGAUACUGUUGGUCUUGAGGGAGAUAGGGGUGUGCGGAACUUCCAGUGGAGCGGUGAAAUGCGUUGAUAUUGGAAGGAACGCCGGAGGCGAAAGCGGCGCACUGGAUCUCUUCUGACGCUGAGGCGCGAAAGCCAGGGGAGCAAACGGGAUUAGAUACCCCAGU